This 497-nucleotide ribosomal RNA is filed under the name uncultured bacterium. Its description in RNAcentral is "partial 16S ribosomal RNA". It matches the Rfam family "Bacterial small subunit ribosomal RNA", at positions 28 to 507 of the family's 1533-position model. The record is from RNAcentral.
GAUGAACGCUGGCGGCGUGCCUAAUACAUGCAAGUCGAGCGAACAGAUGAGGAGCUUGCUCCUCUGACGUUAGCGGCGGACGGGUGAGUAACACGUGGAUAACCUACCUAUAAGACUGGGAUAACUUCGGGAAACCGGAGCUAAUACCGGAUAAUAUAUUGAACCGCAUGGUUCAAUAGUGAAAGACGGUUUUGCUGUCACUUAUAGAUGGAUCCGCGCCGCAUUAGCUAGUUGGUAAGGUAACGGCUUACCAAGGCAACGAUGCGUAGCCGACCUGAGCGGGUGAUCGGCCACACUGGAACUGAGACACGGUCCAGACUCCUGCGGGAGGCAGCAGUAGGGAAUCUUCCGCAAUGGGCGAAAGCCUAACGGAGCAACGCCGCGUGAGUGAUGAAGGUCUUCGGAUCGUAAAGCUCUGUUAUUAGGGAAGAACAAAUGUGUAAGUAACUAUGCACGUCUUGACGGUACCUAAUCAGAAAGCCACGGCUAACUACGUG